CGUCUCUGUGUGAGAGUCUAUAAUGUUUACUUUUAGUGUAUUUUUUUUUUUUAUCAUUAUUCGUUAAAACUGAUAAUAUAUUAUUAUACAUUAUUAUGUUUCCUGCGUAACGUCCCGACGAAAAUAUUCAUCGUUUAAUAACACGCCGCGUAUGAUUAUUAUUAUUUAACUCUAAAACAGUCGGCUAUACGGGAUAUUAAUGUACUAUAAUAAUAUAUCGGUAAAAAUGUUCGCGUACCCAUGCGAUAGUAAUAUAGUAAAAUAGUUACACACGAAUUUUCGUAUCUCGUCUCAUCGGGAAAAAAAAAAAAAAAAAAAAAAAAAAAAAAAAAUUAAAAAUAAAAACCGG
Cinara cedri is the source of this 349-nucleotide non-coding RNA. NCBI's taxonomy places the organism in Eukaryota, Metazoa, Arthropoda, Insecta, Hemiptera, Aphididae. The record is from the annotation of a GenBank genome assembly.